RNAcentral lists this microRNA precursor (158 nucleotides) under Pinus taeda (loblolly pine). RNAcentral describes it as "miR1314 stem-loop (pta-MIR1314)". The stretch from base 25 to 128 matches the Rfam family "MIR1314 microRNA precursor family". The record is from miRBase by way of RNAcentral. Lineage: Eukaryota; Viridiplantae; Streptophyta; Pinopsida; Pinales; Pinaceae.
AAUUCCAAUUCCAAUUGAUAACAUGUUAGUUAGCUGAAGAGAUUCUUCAACAUUAGAGGCCAAUAUAGAAUAAUAUUCUUAUUCUUAAUCGGCCUUGAAUGUUAGGAGAACGUUUUCCUCUACCUAAGCAUGCUAUCUCAAAGGAGUUUAAGGAGUGG